This 388-nucleotide ribosomal RNA is filed under the name uncultured bacterium. RNAcentral describes it as "bacterial SSU rRNA". It matches the Rfam family "Bacterial small subunit ribosomal RNA", at positions 28 to 417 of the family's 1533-position model. The record is from RNAcentral.
GACGAACGCUGGCGGCGUGCUUAACACAUGCAAGUCGAGCGGUAAGGCCCUUUCGGGGGUACACGAGCGGCGAACGGGCGAGUAACACGUGGGUGACCUGCCCUCAGCUCUGGGAUAAGCCUGGGAAACCGGGUCUAAUACUGGAUAUGACUCCAUGACGCAUGUUGUGGGGUGGAAAGCCUUGUGCGGCUGAGGAUGGGCCCGCGGCCUAUCAGCUUGUUGGUGGGGNGAUGGCCUACCAAGGCGACGACGGGUAGCCGGCCUGAGAGGGCGACCGGCCACACUGGGACUGAGACACGGCCCAGACUCCUACGGGAGGCAGCAGUGGGGAAUCUUGCGCAAUGGGCGAAAGCCUGACGCAGCGACGCCGCGUGAGGGAUGACGGCCU